CUAGCUCACGGAGACCUCCCUUGUGGCGUGAUUCAGUGACUUACCAAAGGGUAGCUGUCCAUUCACCCACAAUACGAUGCUCUUUGGUUUUUUGUUUUGUUUUUGUUGGAUUUUUAGCAGUCUCACUGUGGCCCUGGAUGCAUGGAGCUCACUGUGUAGUCCAGACUGCCUUUGAACCCACAGAAAUCUGCCUGCCUCUUCCCAGUGCGGGAGGUAAAGGUGUGUACCACCAUGCCUGUCAGCAUAUCCCACUCCUAAGAAUCCCAGGUAGUUCGUGGUUUUCGAGUUUUUAUUUUGUUUUAAACUAAUGAUUCAUCUACAGGUUUAAUAUCCACUGAUGUUAUUCAAAUUAUAAUGACUGCUGAAAGAUUGGGAGGGAAAGACCCGUCUUAAAUCACAGCGUCUGUUGUGUAAGACAGUGUGGUAAAAUAAA
This 433-nucleotide long non-coding RNA is filed under the name Rattus norvegicus (Norway rat). RNAcentral describes it as "long non-coding RNA NONRATT008550". Lineage: Eukaryota; Metazoa; Chordata; Mammalia; Rodentia; Muridae. The record is from RNAcentral.